RNAcentral lists this ribosomal RNA (482 nucleotides) under uncultured bacterium. RNAcentral describes it as "partial 16S ribosomal RNA". It matches the Rfam family "Bacterial small subunit ribosomal RNA", at positions 30 to 507 of the family's 1533-position model. The record is from RNAcentral.
AUUGAACGCUGGCGGCAGGCCUAACACAUGCAAGUCGAGCGGAUGAAGGGAGCUUGCUCCUGGAUUCAGCGGCGGACGGGUGAGUAAUGCCUAGGAAUCUGCCUGGUAGUGGGGGAUAACGUCCGGAAACGGGCGCUAAUACCGCAUACGUCCUGAGGGAGAAAGUGGGGGAUCUUCGGACCUCACGCUAUCAGAUGAGCCUAGGUCGGAUUAGCUAGUUGGUGGGGUAAAGGCCUACCAAGGCGACGAUCCGUAACUGGUCUGAGAGGAUGAUCAGUCACAAUGGAACUGAGACACGGUCCAGACUCCUACGGGAGGCAGCAGUGGGGAAUAUUGGACGAUGGGCGAAAGCCUGAUCCAGCCAUGCCGCGUGUGAAGAAGGUCUUCGGAUUGUAAAGCACUUUAAGUUGGGAGGAAGGGCAGUAAGUUAAUACCUUGCUGUUUUGACGUUACCAACAGAAUAAGCACCGGCUAACUUCGUG